AAUUGUAUCAUCAACUGUUCAU
RNAcentral lists this small nuclear RNA (22 nucleotides) under Arabidopsis thaliana (thale cress). RNAcentral's name for it is "snRNA_06688". The record is from RNAcentral. Lineage: Eukaryota; Viridiplantae; Streptophyta; Magnoliopsida; Brassicales; Brassicaceae.